GAGUUUGAUCAUGGCUCAUGAUGAACGCUGGCGGCGUGCCUAAUACAUGCAAGUCGAACGAGAAAGACAACUUUCAGUUGUUGAGUAGAGUGGCGAACGGGUGAGUAACACUGUAGUGUGACCUGCCCCAGAGAGUGGGAGACAACCGGUGGAAACGUCGGCUAAUACCCCAUAAGCUCACAGUAGAUUAGAAAAGCGUGAGAAAAACUGAGGUGCUCUGGGAGAGGGCCUAGCCGGACCAUCAGCUGGAUAUGGUAGGGUAACGGCUUACCAAGGCGAAGACGGGUAGGGGCCUGAGAGAGGUGGUCCCCCACACGGAGCACUGACACACGGGCCCAGACUCCUACGG
Molecule: ribosomal RNA, 349 nt
Filed under: uncultured bacterium
Lineage: Bacteria
Description: bacterial SSU rRNA
Rfam family: Bacterial small subunit ribosomal RNA
Source: RNAcentral